GAGCAGAGGGCAGGGUUAGAGCAGAGGGCAGGGUUAGAGCAGAGGGCAGGCAUCUGUACGCUUUCUGACUGACAGGAAAGAGAAAGAUGGAGCAGGAAGAUGGAGCAGGAAGAUGGAGCAGGAAGAUGGAGCAGAAAGAUGGAGCAGGAAGAUGGAGCAGAAAGAUGGAGCAGUUCCUGUACAAAAAGAAGAAUGAAAAAAAAGAAGAGAAAAUAAAACAAGAAGUGGCGCCAAAAUAUUUGCACUUUCUCCUCCCGAUAUUUUACUUUCUAUCUGUUUUCACAUUUGUUAGAUAUUUUCUAGUGUGACUAAAAAGGUCUCGAUAAGAAUACUAACUCUUCUUCUCAUUGUCAACGUUAAUGUCUAAAAGCAGCAAGACAGUUACCCCCUGUAAGGUUCUUCACUGGGACAUUAUCCAUGUUGCUGUGGCGUUCUGGUUCUUCACUGGGACAUUAUCCAUGUUGCUGUGGCGUUCUGGUUCUUCACUGGGACAUUAUCCAUGUUGCUGUGGCGUUCUGGUUCUUCACUGGGACAUUAUCCAUGUUGCUGUGGCGUUCUGGUUCUUCACUGGGACAUUAUCCAUGUUGCUGUGGCGUUCUGGUUCUUCACUGAGACAUUAUCCAUGUUGCUGUGGCGUUCUGGCAACACAACAUCCACAACAGCACACGAAAGUAGAAGCACAGUUAAAUGUGUCUUCCAACAAAGCAAAUGUUCCCUAUAAUGUUUAUCUGUUAAUCCCAAUGUUACUCUGUCAGCUGUGAGGCUGGUUUCUGUCUGUUCUGUCUCCUUUAAUGACACAGGAGCUGAUGACAAGAAGAAGCUUCUUAAUAAGUUACAAAACAACAGCCUCAGUUUGCUACUACAAUAAAACCGGUAAACUGGUAGCUGUAACCAGAAAUAAUGACAACCCGUUAAAAUCACCAGUUAGACGAUCGUGUCUUUCUAGUUGUGUUCGUGGACCCCAGGAAGACUAGCCUGUUGUUAUGGUGUCCUAGGGGGAUCCUAAUAAAGAUGAAAGAUUAUAGUUCAACUGCAGAAGUAAAGAGACUCAAUCCCACAUAAUUCACGUCUUCAGAAGUCCAGUAUCUGUGUGAAGCGUUAUUAACGUUGGUCCCUGACUAGAGAGGCUGUUUGUACAGGGAUGUAGUGAACCAAUACAAGUGAACGUGUUCAGUAUGUUUUGUUUUGUAAAAUGUAUAUGAACUGCAAUAUUCAUUAUAUGAAAUGGUAUGGGGUGGAUAUGAAACUGUGAGACUGACUGAGUUAAAGUGUAAAGUAUUUCUUUAUGGGUUAUAAUAAUGAGAGGUUUAGACAUGAAACCCCUGGCACUGUAUUAAU
Coregonus clupeaformis (lake whitefish) is the source of this 1338-nucleotide long non-coding RNA. RefSeq lists it as uncharacterized. The record is from RefSeq and is a predicted model, not a curated record. The transcript has 2 exons. NCBI's taxonomy places the organism in Eukaryota, Metazoa, Chordata, Actinopteri, Salmoniformes, Salmonidae.